Molecule: ribosomal RNA, 2923 nt
Filed under: Klebsiella pneumoniae
Lineage: Bacteria; Pseudomonadati; Pseudomonadota; Gammaproteobacteria; Enterobacterales; Enterobacteriaceae
Description: 23S ribosomal RNA
Rfam family: Bacterial large subunit ribosomal RNA
Source: RNAcentral
GGGUUGUGAGGUUAAGCGACUAAGCGUACACGGUGGAUGCCCUGGCAGUCAGAGGCGAUGAAGGACGUGCUAAUCUGCGAAAAGCGUCGGUAAGGUGAUAUGAACCGUUACAGCCGGCGAUGUCCGAAUGGGGAAACCCAGUGUGAUUCGUCACACUAUCGUUAACUGAAUACAUAGGUUAACGAGGCGAACCGGGGGAACUGAAACAUCUAAGUACCCCGAGGAAAAGAAAUCAACCGAGAUUCCCCCAGUAGCGGCGAGCGAACGGGGAGCAGCCCAGAGUCUGAAUCAGCUUGUGUGUUAGUGGAACGGUCUGGAAAGUCCGACGGUACAGGGUGAUAGUCCCGUACACCAAAAUGCACAGGCUGUGAACUCGAAGAGUAGGGCGGGACACGUGGUAUCCUGUCUGAAUAUGGGGGGACCAUCCUCCAAGGCUAAAUACUCCUGACUGACCGAUAGUGAACCAGUACCGUGAGGGAAAGGCGAAAAGAACCCCGGCGAGGGGAGUGAAAAAGAACCUGAAACCGUGUACGUACAAGCAGUGGGAGCACCUUCGGGUGUGACUGCGUACCUUUUGUAUAAUGGGUCAGCGACUUAUAUUCUGUAGCAAGGUUAACCGUAUAGGGGAGCCGCAGGGAAACCGAGUCUUAACUGGGCGUUAAGUUGCAGGGUAUAGACCCGAAACCCGGUGAUCUAGCCAUGGGCAGGUUGAAGGUUGGGUAACACUAACUGGAGGACCGAACCGACUAAUGUUGAAAAAUUAGCGGAUGACUUGUGGCUGGGGGUGAAAGGCCAAUCAAACCGGGAGAUAGCUGGUUCUCCCCGAAAGCUAUUUAGGUAGCGCCUCGUGAAUUCAUCUUCGGGGGUAGAGCACUGUUUCGGCUAGGGGGGCAUCCCGACUUACCAACCCGAUGCAAACUACGAAUACCGAAGAAUGUUAUCACGGGAGACACACGGCGGGUGCUAACGUCCGUCGUGAAGAGGGAAACAACCCAGACCGCCAGCUAAGGUCCCAAAGUCAUGGUUAAGUGGGAAACGAUGUGGGAAGGCACAGACAGCCAGGAUGUUGGCUUAGAAGCAGCCAUCAUUUAAAGAAAGCGUAAUAGCUCACUGGUCGAGUCGGCCUGCGCGGAAGAUGUAACGGGGCUAAACCAUGCACCGAAGCUGCGGCAGCGACACUAUGUGUUGUUGGGUAGGGGAGCGUUCUGUAAGCCUGCGAAGGUGACCUGUGAGGGUUGCUGGAGGUAUCAGAAGUGCGAAUGCUGACAUAAGUAACGAUAAAGCGGGUGAAAAGCCCGCUCGCCGGAAGACCAAGGGUUCCUGUCCAACGUUAAUCGGGGCAGGGUGAGUCGACCCCUAAGGCGAGGCCGAAAGGCGUAGUCGAUGGGAAACAGGUUAAUAUUCCUGUACUUGGUGUUACUGCGAAGGGGGGACGGAGAAGGCUAUGUUAGCCGGGCGACGGUUGUCCCGGUUUAAGCAUGUAGGCUGGUUAUCCAGGCAAAUCCGGAUAAUCAAGGCUGAGGUGUGAUGACGAGGCACUACGGUGCUGAAGUAACAAAUGCCCUGCUUCCAGGAAAAGCCUCUAAGCAUCAGGUAACAUCAAAUCGUACCCCAAACCGACACAGGUGGUCAGGUAGAGAAUACCAAGGCGCUUGAGAGAACUCGGGUGAAGGAACUAGGCAAAAUGGUGCCGUAACUUCGGGAGAAGGCACGCUGGUGUGUAGGUGAAGUCCCUGCGGAUGGAGCUGAGACCAGUCGAAGAUACCAGCUGGCUGCAACUGUUUAUUAAAAACACAGCACUGUGCAAACACGAAAGUGGACGUAUACGGUGUGACGCCUGCCCGGUGCCGGAAGGUUAAUUGAUGGGGUUAUCCGUAAGGAGAAGCUCUUGAUCGAAGCCCCGGUAAACGGCGGCCGUAACUAUAACGGUCCUAAGGUAGCGAAAUUCCUUGUCGGGUAAGUUCCGACCUGCACGAAUGGCGUAAUGAUGGCCAGGCUGUCUCCACCCGAGACUCAGUGAAAUUGAACUCGCUGUGAAGAUGCAGUGUACCCGCGGCAAGACGGAAAGACCCCGUGAACCUUUACUAUAGCUUGACACUGAACAUUGAGCCUUGAUGUGUAGGAUAGGUGGGAGGCUUUGAAGCGUGGACGCCAGUCUGCGUGGAGCCAACCUUGAAAUACCACCCUUUAAUGUUUGAUGUUCUAACGUUGGCCCCUUACCGGGGUUGCGGACAGUGUCUGGUGGGUAGUUUGACUGGGGCGGUCUCCUCCCAAAGCGUAACGGAGGAGCACGAAGGUUAGCUAAUCCUGGUCGGACAUCAGGAGGUUAGUGCAAUGGCAUAAGCUAGCUUGACUGCGAGCGUGACGGCGCGAGCAGGUGCGAAAGCAGGUCAUAGUGAUCCGGUGGUUCUGAAUGGAAGGGCCAUCGCUCAACGGAUAAAAGGUACUCCGGGGAUAACAGGCUGAUACCGCCCAAGAGUUCAUAUCGACGGCGGUGUUUGGCACCUCGAUGUCGGCUCAUCACAUCCUGGGGCUGAAGUAGGUCCCAAGGGUAUGGCUGUUCGCCAUUUAAAGUGGUACGCGAGCUGGGUUUAGAACGUCGUGAGACAGUUCGGUCCCUAUCUGCCGUGGGCGCUGGAGAAUUGAGGGGGGCUGCUCCUAGUACGAGAGGACCGGAGUGGACGCAUCACUGGUGUUCGGGUUGUCAUGCCAAUGGCACUGCCCGGUAGCUAAAUGCGGAAGAGAUAAGUGCUGAAAGCAUCUAAGCACGAAACUUGCCCCGAGAUGAGUUCUCCCUGAGACUUUAAGUCUCCUGAAGGAACGUUAAAGACGAUGACGUUGAUAGGCCGGGUGUGUAAGCGCAGCGAUGCGUUGAGCUAACCGGUACUAAUGAACCGUGAGGCUUAACCUUACAACGCCGAAG